Molecule: ribosomal RNA, 425 nt
Filed under: uncultured Comamonadaceae bacterium
Lineage: Bacteria; Pseudomonadati; Pseudomonadota; Betaproteobacteria; Burkholderiales; Comamonadaceae
Description: bacterial SSU rRNA
Rfam family: Bacterial small subunit ribosomal RNA
Source: RNAcentral
GGGGAAUUUUGGACAAUGGGCGCAAGCCUGAUCCAGCCAUUCCGCGUGCAGGAUGAAGGCCCUCGGGUUGUAAACUGCUUUUGUACGGAACGAAAAGGCUCUGGUUAAUACCUGGGGCUCAUGACGGUACCGUAAGAAUAAGCACCGGCUAACUACGUGCCAGCAGCCGCGGUAAUACGUAGGGUGCAAGCGUUAAUCGGAAUUACUGGGCGUAAAGCGUGCGCAGGCGGUGAUGUAAGACAGAGGUGAAAUCCCCGGGCUCAACCUGGGAACUGCCUUUGUGACUGCAUCGCUGGAGUACGGCAGAGGGGGAUGGAAUUCCGCGUGUAGCAGUGAAAUGCGUAGAUAUGCGGAGGAACACCGAUGGCGAAGGCAAUCCCCUGGGCCUGUACUGACGCUCAUGCACGAAAGCGUGGGGAGCAAAC